RNAcentral lists this ribosomal RNA (480 nucleotides) under uncultured bacterium. RNAcentral's name for it is "bacterial SSU rRNA". It matches the Rfam family "Bacterial small subunit ribosomal RNA", at positions 30 to 506 of the family's 1533-position model. The record is from RNAcentral.
UUGAACGCUGGCGGCAUGCCUUACACAUGCAAGUCGAACGGUAACAGGUCUUCGGAUGCUGACGAGUGGCGAACGGGUGAGUAAUACAUCGGAACGUGCCCGAUCGUGGGGGAUAACGGAGCGAAAGCUUUGCUAAUACCGCAUACGAUCUACGGAUGAAAGCAGGGGACCGCAAGGCCUUGCGCGGACGGAGCGGCCGAUGGCAGAUUAGGUAGUUGGUGGGAUAAAAGCUUACCAAGCCGACGAUCUGUAGCUGGUCUGAGAGGACGACCAGCCACACUGGGACUGAGACACGGCCCAGACUCCUACGGGAGGCAGCAGUGGGGAAUUUUGGACAAUGGGGGCAACCCUGAUCCAGCAAUGCCGCGUGAGUGAAGAAGGCCUUCGGGUUGUAAAGCUCUUUUGUCAGGGAAGAAACGGUGAGUUCUAAUACAGCUUGCUAAUGACGGUACCUGAAGAAUAAGCACCGGCUAACUACGU